RNAcentral lists this ribosomal RNA (422 nucleotides) under uncultured cyanobacterium. Its description in RNAcentral is "bacterial SSU rRNA". It matches the Rfam family "Bacterial small subunit ribosomal RNA", at positions 356 to 795 of the family's 1533-position model. The record is from RNAcentral. Lineage: Bacteria; Bacillati; Cyanobacteriota.
GGGGAAUUUUCCGCAAUGGGCGAAAGCCUGACGGAGCAACGCCGCGUGAGGGAGGAAGGCUCUUGGGUUGUAAACCUCUUUUCUCAAGGAAGAUAAUGACGGUACUUGAGGAAUCAGCAUCGGCUAACUCCGUGCCAGCAGCCGCGGUAAUACGGAGGAUGCAAGCGUUAUCCGGAAUAAUUGGGCGUAAAGCGUUCGUAGGUGGUUUUGUAAGUCUGCUGUUAAAGCGUGUAGCUUAACUACAUAUAGGCGGUGGAAACUACAAGACUUGGGUGCGUUCGGGGUAGAGGGAAUUCCUGGNUGUAGCGGUGAAAUGCGUAGAGAUCAGGAAGAACACCGGUGGCGAAGGCGCUCUACUAGACCGCAACUGACACUGAGGGACGAAAGCUAGGGGAGCGAAUGGGAUUAGAUACCCCAUAGUC